This 1364-nucleotide ribosomal RNA is filed under the name Escherichia coli. RNAcentral describes it as "partial 23S ribosomal RNA". It matches the Rfam family "Bacterial large subunit ribosomal RNA", at positions 1587 to 2925 of the family's 2925-position model. The record is from RNAcentral. Lineage: Bacteria; Pseudomonadati; Pseudomonadota; Gammaproteobacteria; Enterobacterales; Enterobacteriaceae.
GAAGCAACAAAUGCCCUGCUUCCAGGAAAAGCCUCUAAGCAUCAGGUAACAUCAAAUCGUACCCCAAACCGACACAGGUGGUCAGGUAGAGAAUACCAAGGCGCUUGAGAGAACUCGGGUGAAGGAACUAGGCAAAAUGGUGCCGUAACUUCGGGAGAAGGCACGCUGAUAUGUAGGUGAAGCGACUUGCUCGUGGAGCUGAAAUCAGUCGAAGAUACCAGCUGGCUGCAACUGUUUAUUAAAAACACAGCACUGUGCAAACACGAAAGUGGACGUAUACGGUGUGACGCCUGCCCGGUGCCGGAAGGUUAAUUGAUGGGGUUAGCGGUAACGCGAAGCUCUUGAUCGAAGCCCCGGUAAACGGCGGCCGUAACUAUAACGGUCCUAAGGUAGCGAAAUUCCUUGUCGGGUAAGUUCCGACCUGCACGAAUGGCGUAAUGAUGGCCAGGCUGUCUCCACCCGAGACUCAGUGAAAUUGAACUCGCUGUGAAGAUGCAGUGUACCCGCGGCAAGACGGAAAGACCCCGUGAACCUUUACUAUAGCUUGACACUGAACAUUGAGCCUUGAUGUGUAGGAUAGGUGGGAGGCUUUGAAGUGUGGACGCCAGUCUGCAUGGAGCCGACCUUGAAAUACCACCCUUUAAUGUUUGAUGUUCUAACGUUGGCCCGUUAUCCGGGUUGCGGACAGUGUCUGGUGGGUAGUUUGACUGGGGCGGUCUCCUCCUAAAGAGUAACGGAGGAGCACGAAGGUUGGCUAAUCCUGGUCGGACAUCAGGAGGUUAGUGCAAUGGCAUAAGCCAGCUUGACUGCGAGCGUGACGGCGCGAGCAGGUGCGAAAGCAGGUCAUAGUGAUCCGGUGGUUCUGAAUGGAAGGGCCAUCGCUCAACGGAUAAAAGGUACUCCGGGGAUAACAGGCUGAUACCGCCCAAGAGUUCAUAUCGACGGCGGUGUUUGGCACCUCGAUGUCGGCUCAUCACAUCCUGGGGCUGAAGUAGGUCCCAAGGGUAUGGCUGUUCGCCAUUUAAAGUGGUACGCGAGCUGGGUUUAGAACGUCGUGAGACAGUUCGGUCCCUAUCUGCCGUGGGCGCUGGAGAACUGAGGGGGGCUGCUCCUAGUACGAGAGGACCGGAGUGGACGCAUCACUGGUGUUCGGGUUGUCAUGCCAAUGGCACUGCCCGGUAGCUAAAUGCGGAAGAGAUAAGUGCUGAAAGCAUCUAAGCACGAAACUUGCCCCGAGAUGAGUUCUCCCUGACUCCUUGAGAGUCCUGAAGGAACGUUGAAGACGACGACGUUGAUAGGCCGGGUGUGUAAGCGCAGCGAUGCGUUGAGCUAACCGGUACUAAUGAGCCGUGAGGCUUAACCUU